Molecule: ribosomal RNA, 143 nt
Filed under: uncultured Oscillospiraceae bacterium
Lineage: Bacteria; Bacillati; Bacillota; Clostridia; Eubacteriales; Oscillospiraceae
Description: partial 16S ribosomal RNA
Rfam family: Bacterial small subunit ribosomal RNA
Source: RNAcentral
CCCGGGCCUUGUACACACCGCCCGUCACACCAUGAGAGCCGGGGGGACCCGAAGUCGGUAGUCUAACCGCAAGGAGGACGCCGCCGAAGGUAAAACUGGUGAUUGGGGUGAAGUCGUAACAGGUAACCGUAAAGGGCGAAUUC